CUAUAGCUACAUGUACAUCACAUAGUUGCUAUAGCUACAUGUAUAUCAUAUAGUUGCUAUAGCUACAUGUAUAUCACAUAGUUGCUAUAGCUACAUGUACACUGAGUGUACAAAACAUUAUGAACACCUGCUCUUUCCAUGACAAAGACUGACCAGGUCAAUCCAGACUUAGCCUUGAGCCAAUUGAGACAUGGAUUGUAUAUGUGUGCCAUUUAGAGGUUGAAUGGGCAAGACAAAACAUUGAAGAACCUUUGAA
This is a long non-coding RNA of Coregonus clupeaformis (lake whitefish), 256 nucleotides long. RefSeq lists it as uncharacterized. The transcript is spliced from 3 exons. NCBI's taxonomy places the organism in Eukaryota, Metazoa, Chordata, Actinopteri, Salmoniformes, Salmonidae. The record is from RefSeq and is a predicted model, not a curated record.